RNAcentral lists this ribosomal RNA (253 nucleotides) under uncultured bacterium. Its description in RNAcentral is "partial 16S ribosomal RNA". It matches the Rfam family "Bacterial small subunit ribosomal RNA", at positions 524 to 776 of the family's 1533-position model. The record is from RNAcentral.
UACGUAGGGUGCAAGCGUUGUCCGGAAUUAUUGGGCGUAAAGAGCUCGUAGGCGGUUUGUUGCGUCGGCUGUGAAAUCCCGAGGCUCAACCUCGGGUCUGCAGUCGAUACGAGCAAACUAGAGUGUUGCAGGGGAGACUGGAAUUCCUGGUGUAGCGGUGAAAUGCGCAGAUAUCAGGAGGAACACCGGUGGCGAAGGCGGGUCUCUGGGCCUUACCUGACGCUGAGGAGCGAAAGCGUGGGGAGCGAACAGG